GCCGACGUAGCUCAACGGCAGAGCUCCUGAUUUGUAAUCAGGGGGUUAUCGGUUCAAAUCCGAUCGUCGGCUCCA
Molecule: transfer RNA, 75 nt
Filed under: Deltaproteobacteria bacterium
Lineage: Bacteria; Pseudomonadati; Myxococcota; Myxococcia
Description: tRNA-Thr
Rfam family: tRNA
About the family: Transfer RNA (tRNA) molecules are approximately 80 nucleotides in length. Their secondary structure includes four short double-helical elements and three loops (D, anti-codon, and T loops).
Source: RNAcentral